GCCGUCCUGGCCCAAUUGGUAGAGGUGCCCGGCUUAGAACCGGGAGGUUCAGGGUUCGAAUCCCUGGGACGGUA
RNAcentral lists this transfer RNA (74 nucleotides) under Actinomadura craniellae. It matches the Rfam family "tRNA". From Rfam's summary of the family: Transfer RNA (tRNA) molecules are approximately 80 nucleotides in length. Lineage: Bacteria; Bacillati; Actinomycetota; Actinomycetes; Streptosporangiales; Thermomonosporaceae. The record is from Rfam by way of RNAcentral.